GUGAAAACUGCUUGUGCUUUGGAGCCUGGCCUCUUGCUGAGCUAAAGGCCUGAGACGACCACGUUUUAUGAGCAUGAACAAGCCUGUAGGGGGAAAGAGAGAUCCUGUGGAGGAAAACUGAGGCAUCUGGGCUGACAAUCUGCCAACUGCCAGGUUAUGUUUCAGCUUAUCAAAUACAUAGCUUCUCCUUUCUGCCUGACUUCCUGACCCUGAAAGUAUUAUUUUCUUUCUUUCUGCCUGAGACUUUGCCAAAGUUGCUGAGGCUGGGGUUGCAGCCUGGUCAAGAAAGAGUGGAUAUAAGGAGGAUACCCACAAGUUAUCCUGCCAAGCAUAUUACAAUGAAAAGGUCAUCAUUAGUGGCCUUUUUAGUUAUUUGAAACAUUUACUGAGCCCAAAGCUUUCACCUUCUAUUCUGGGCUGAAAUGCAGAGAAAAUUUGGGCUGGUGAUAUUUGCACAUAUGCUAUAAGGAGUAGAAGAAAAUCAUAUCCUUCAAUUCUUGGUAAUAAGUGGAAAUAACUGGUGACUCUGAGCAGAUUCUGAUUAGAACAAUAAGGUAUUAGCUUUGUUUUUCAAAUUUUAAUAAGUUUUUUAAGUAAUAUUUUUGAAAGCAGAAGAAAGUAUAUAUACUUGACUGUUAUUUCCAUUGUCAGUUUAUCAUUGACAGUCACAAAUCAGAGGGAAGUGCCAAUCGUCUCCAGAAUGCGAGACUACAGCAUUCUUCACAAGUAGUGCAUGGGGCCAGGCACGGUGGCUCAUGCCAGUAAUCCCAGCACUUUGGGAGGCUGAGAUGGGUGGAUCACCUGUAGCGGAAUAACUGAGGUCAGGAGUAUGAGACCAGCCUGGUCAAGAUGGUGAAACCCCAUCUCUACUAAAACUACAAAACUUAGCCAGGCAUGGUGGUGCAUGCCUGUAAUCCUAGGUAUGGGGGAGGCUGCGGCAGGAGAAUCACUUGAACUCGGGAGGCAGAUGUUGCAGUAAGCCGAGAUUGCACCACUGCACUCCAGCCUGGAUGACAGAGUGAGAC
RNAcentral lists this long non-coding RNA (1025 nucleotides) under Macaca mulatta (Rhesus monkey). RNAcentral's name for it is "lncRNA (ENSMMUG00000055146.1)". The record is from RNAcentral. Lineage: Eukaryota; Metazoa; Chordata; Mammalia; Primates; Cercopithecidae.